GUGGCUGUAGCUCAGCAGGUAGAGCCCCGGAUUGUGAUUCCGGUUGUCGUGGGUUCGAGCCCCAUCAGCCACC
This 73-nucleotide transfer RNA is filed under the name Acidithiobacillus caldus ATCC 51756. Its description in RNAcentral is "tRNA-His". It matches the Rfam family "tRNA". From Rfam's summary of the family: Transfer RNA (tRNA) molecules are approximately 80 nucleotides in length. Their secondary structure includes four short double-helical elements and three loops (D, anti-codon, and T loops). Further hydrogen bonds mediate the characteristic L-shaped molecular structure. tRNAs have two regions of fundamental functional importance: the anti-codon, which is responsible for specific mRNA codon recognition, and the 3' end, to which the tRNAs corresponding amino acid is attached (by aminoacyl-tRNA synthetases). tRNAs cope with the degeneracy of the genetic code in two manners: having more than one tRNA (with a specific anti-codon) for a particular amino acid; and 'wobble' base-pairing, i.e. permitting non-standard base-pairing at the 3rd anti-codon position. RNAcentral also lists the same sequence under 1 other name. The record is from RNAcentral. Lineage: Bacteria; Pseudomonadati; Pseudomonadota; Acidithiobacillia; Acidithiobacillales; Acidithiobacillaceae.